RNAcentral lists this unclassified non-coding RNA (161 nucleotides) under uncultured fungus. Its description in RNAcentral is "sequence contains ITS1, 5.8S rRNA gene". Lineage: Eukaryota; Fungi. The record is from RNAcentral.
CAAAAUCCGGUUUGGGUUGGUGGUGGGAGUUGUAUUGUAGGUUUGUAAGGUAGAGGGGAGUUUUCUCUCUUCUACUUCUACUACUACUCUACUUACUACUCGCCCCCCCUCAUCAUUUGCGCUUGUAUUGUUUGACAGAGUAAUUUUCUAUACAUAAAUGA